AUAAAGCAGCUCGCAGCUAAAGUAUCGUUCCGUUCAAUGGCCUGACACUGAAGCUCUGGAAAACGCUAACGUUACAUUUGAUUCGACCAAGUCACGAACAACGUUCACAAACACGAAAAGACAUUUCAACAUGCUCAAAGAGUCAUUAAAAAAAAGAAUGUCCUCCUGGGUGAAGGUCAGUGGAUCAGGUGGAUGUUUGGCACAACCCGACCAAUGAAGCAGGAGAUUUUGAGCAGGACACUGUUGUUCACGUCGUAAGCAAGGAGAAAACUCUGAAGUUGUUUCAGCAGGACACUUUCAAGAUGAUGGUUGACACAAAAUCCUGAAGACAUCAAAAGUAAGUUCAGAAAAUGCUGUUUUGCAAGGAAGAUGCUACACAUGAAUAUAUAAAUGAUGCAGAUCAACACAAAUCCUUUUUUAAUUCUCUGGAGUCAAUGUGGCAGACGAGUCAAAGCUGAUGCAUUUACCCAGCUGUUUAGACUAAUGAAGUGCAGCGGUGAACAGCGUGUCACUCGCAUGUCCGUUUGAUGUCAGCACGUCCUUCCUUUGUACAGAGGGAACAACAUGGUGGGGGUGCUUGAUCACAUCCAAACCCUGUUUAAUCUAAAUUAAAACUCACUAAUCUUGUUAUUAUGCUGACCCCUUUGCGAGACACACUUCCACAAGGCCCCUUCAUCCCCGUCACCCAAACGUUUUCAUCCAGCUGAGACAAAAGGAUAUAGUAGGGAAUUAAAUGACAGUGUGGCAGUCUGAAAUGGGAACAUUGAUUUCAACAGGCUUGUUUUGAUCACGAAGGCUUUUGAGUGAUUAGAGUUUCGCUUUAUGUCCCUUUUGAUUGUUCGUACCAAGUUGCAUGAUAAAACAUCUUGGGUCCUCUGCUCAAAACCGAAGGUUAGUUUCACUCUCACUGCCAAUUUAAAAUCAGGCAGUUUUCGUUUUUUGGUCACAUUGCUCAAGGUUAAGAUUUGGGGAUGGAAUAGGCUGUGCAUACAUCAAUGGAGCCGUGCCGAUGAACGUGUGACCUCCUCCUAAUCCUGCGAUGUGUCCUGCAUAAGGCUAGGACAGGCCAGACCCCGUACUGAAGAUGGUGAAAGUUCCAUUUCCAUAUGCAUGAGAUGAGUCGUUGUUAUUUUAAUGAAGGGCAUCCUGCCUCGAGCAAAUAAAAAAGACUGAACUGAUGCUAGACAUGGCUCUGUGAUCAGCUUUAAUGGUCUAUCUUUGUAAAGAGAUGUGGCAGAAAGGAACACAUUAGGGUGAUGCCUGUGUGUGUCUCAGGAAUUCUCAUUUGAAUCAUUGCUGUGAUGAUCCUAGACAAACGAAAAGUGAAAAACAAAAUCGAAAACUCCCACAUUCAUAAUGUUUCUGCAAAUGUCCUUUUUC
Cyprinus carpio (common carp) is the source of this 1380-nucleotide long non-coding RNA. RefSeq lists it as uncharacterized. The transcript has 3 exons. The record is from RefSeq and is a predicted model, not a curated record. NCBI's taxonomy places the organism in Eukaryota, Metazoa, Chordata, Actinopteri, Cypriniformes, Cyprinidae.